GUGCUCGCUUCAGCAGCACAUAUACUAAAAUUGGAACGAUACAGAGAAGAUGAGCAUGGCCCCUGCGCAAGGAUGACACACAAAUUCGUGAAGAGUUUCAUAUUUAA
RNAcentral lists this small nuclear RNA (107 nucleotides) under Octodon degus (degu). The record is from RNAcentral. Lineage: Eukaryota; Metazoa; Chordata; Mammalia; Rodentia; Octodontidae.